Molecule: ribosomal RNA, 342 nt
Filed under: uncultured bacterium
Lineage: Bacteria
Description: bacterial SSU rRNA
Rfam family: Bacterial small subunit ribosomal RNA
Source: RNAcentral
AGGGUUUGAUUAUGGCUCAGGAUGAACGCUGGCGGCGUGCCUAACACAUUCAAGUCGAACGGAGUUAUCGGAUUAAUCCUUCGGGAAGCGUCUGAGAAGCUUAGUGGCGGACGGGUGAGUAACGCGUGAGCAACCUGCCUUUGCAACCGGGAUAACAGUUGGAAACGACUGCUAAUACGGGAUGACGUACACGGACCGCAUGAUCUGUGUACCAAAGAUGCGUCGUGCAAAGAUGGGCUCGCGUCUGAUUAGAUAGUUGGCGGGGUAACGGCCCACCAAGUCGACGAUCAGUAGCCGGACUGAGAGGUUGAACGGCCACAUUGGAACUGAGAUACGGUCCAG